Molecule: ribosomal RNA, 166 nt
Filed under: uncultured bacterium
Lineage: Bacteria
Description: partial 16S ribosomal RNA
Rfam family: Bacterial small subunit ribosomal RNA
Source: RNAcentral
AGUAAUCGCAGAUCAGAAUGCUGCGGUGAAUGCGUUCCCGGGUCUUGUACACACCGCCCGUCACACCACGGAAGUUGGGGCGCCCGAAGCCACUUAGCUAACCCUUUUGGGAAGCGAGUGUCGAAGGUGAAAAUCAAUAACUGGGGUGAAGUCGUAACAAGGUACC